GAUGAAGAACGUAGCGAAAUGCGAUAAGUAAUGUGAAUUGCAGAAUUCCGUGAAUCAUCGAAUCUUUGAACGCACAUAGCGCCCCCUGGCAUUCCGGGGGGCAUGCCUGUCCGAGCGUCAUUUCUGCCCUCCAGCCCGGCUGGGUGUUGGGCGCUGUCCCCCCGGGGACACGCCCCAAAGGCAGUGGCGGCGCCGCGUCGGGUCCUCGAGCGUAUGGGGCUUUGUCACCCGCUCGGGACGGACUCGUCGGCGCUGGUCUUCCUCCAGGCGACCCUUCGGGGCUCGUCUUCCUUCGGUUGACCUCGGAUCAGGUAGGGUUACCCGCUGAACUUAAGCAUAUCAAUAAGCGGAGGA
Molecule: unclassified non-coding RNA, 354 nt
Filed under: soil metagenome
Description: partial contains 5.8S ribosomal RNA, internal transcribed spacer 2, and large subunit ribosomal RNA
Rfam family: 5.8S ribosomal RNA (bases 1-120)
Source: RNAcentral